RNAcentral lists this ribosomal RNA (466 nucleotides) under uncultured bacterium. Its description in RNAcentral is "bacterial SSU rRNA". It matches the Rfam family "Bacterial small subunit ribosomal RNA", at positions 355 to 819 of the family's 1533-position model. The record is from RNAcentral.
UCGGGAAUUUUGGGCAAUGGGCGAAAGUCUGACGCUGCGACGUCGCGUGGGUGAUGAAGGUCUUCGGAUCGUAAAACCCUGUCGAGAGGGAAGAAAGAGCGGGCGCUAAUAUCGCCUACUUCUGACGGUACCUCUGGAGGAAGCCCCGGCUAACUCUGUGCCAGCAGCCGCGGUAAUACAGAGGGGGCAAGCGUUGUUCGGAAUUACUGGGCGUAAAGCGUGCGCAGGCGGUUAUGCAAGACAGAUGUGAAAUCCCCGGGCUCAACCUGGGAACUGCAUUUGUGACUGUAUAGCUAGAGUACGGUAGAGGGGGAUGGAAUUCCGCGUGUAGCAGUGAAAUGCGUAGAUAUGCGGAGGAACACCGAUGGCGAAGGCAAUCCCCUGGACCUGUACUGACGCUCAUGCACGAAAGCGUGGGGAGCAAACAGGAUUAGAUACCCCCGUAGUCCCUGAGCGGGCUGGCAAG